Patiria miniata (bat star) is the source of this 224-nucleotide long non-coding RNA. RefSeq lists it as uncharacterized. The record is from RefSeq and is a predicted model, not a curated record. NCBI's taxonomy places the organism in Eukaryota, Metazoa, Echinodermata, Asteroidea, Valvatida, Asterinidae. The transcript has 3 exons.
UUACAGGGGCGACGUCUUGACUUUGACUACAAAAAGAAGAAGCAAGCAAAAGAUUGGUGGGUUGGGUAAGAUCAAGACCAACACAAUCAUCAAGGAGCUCUCCAAACCCUGGAUGCUGGAUGUGGAAGCAGCAUGGAGACCACAGAGAAGUUUCCUUGGAAGAUCAGCAAGGAAGAAUUCACCAUGCUCAAAGAGAAGGCUUGACCUACUCAUCCCUCACCUCA